CACAGGCCCAGACAGAAUCAUGAGCUGAUGCAGAGAAGAUUUCAGCAUUCGGGAAUAUCUGAAGAGUCAGGCUUUGCAGUGCUUCCACUGAUCAGCAUCUGAGGAAAGCUCUGGAAUACUCCAUGCCUUGAAUGCAUAUAGAACACAGUCUCAGAUAUUAGAAACAAUUCAACUAUCAUGUUCAACUGCUACAAGGAUCCACGAUUCCAAGAGUCAGUGAGUUGCUCUCUCUCCCUUUAACACAGCUGUGAAGUCCACUGAAUAUCCAGCCAAGUGUACUUGUGAAUUUCUUCCCCUCUCAUGCCAGUGAGAGGACCUGGUUUCAGCCUAGUGGUAUGAUGUACUUGCUCAUCAGCUUUCAGGUUUAACAAGGGAAAACAAUCUACCCCUCAAAUUGUAGAAGCUUUCUUUCCAGGGGAACUAGACAAUCCUGAUGGCUCUCUCCAGUUACAUAGCAAUUAUAUAAUUGCUAAGCUUCUGCAGAAUCACUGGAACCAUUCUGCAGGCUUCUACCAACUACAGCUGCAGCACAAUGUUCCGAGAUGAUUGCAGGCUUUGAAUGGAUGGCCGGUCUCAAAUCUGAGCACAAAGGGACAUACAAUGGGAUUCCAUCUCAAGCACAAAGAUGCUCCUGCCUAAUGAAGCCCUUUCUCCUCCUCCCAGUCUGUGCAGUAAACUCUUUCCUUU
This 687-nucleotide long non-coding RNA is filed under the name Homo sapiens (human). Its description in RNAcentral is "HSALNT0153593". Lineage: Eukaryota; Metazoa; Chordata; Mammalia; Primates; Hominidae. The record is from RNAcentral.